Molecule: ribosomal RNA, 615 nt
Filed under: uncultured bacterium
Lineage: Bacteria
Description: bacterial SSU rRNA
Rfam family: Bacterial small subunit ribosomal RNA
Source: RNAcentral
GUUUGAUCCUGGCUCAGGACGAACGCUGGCGGCGUGCCUAACACAUGCAAGUCGAGCGGAGACAGUGAGUAGCUUGCUAUGAGCUGUUUUAGCGGCGGACGGGUGAGUAACGCGUGAGCAACCUUUCCCAGACAGGGGAAUAACACACCGAAAGGUGUACUAAUACCGCAUAAGACCACGGGAUCACAUGGUUCUGAGGUAAAAGAUUUAUCGGUUUGGGGUGGGCUCGCGUCCGAUUAGGUAGUUGGUGAGGUAACGGCCCACCAAGCCGACGAUCGGUAGCCGACCUGAGAGGGUGAUCGGCCACAUUGGGACUGAGACACGGCCCAAACUCCUACGGGAGGCAGCAGUGGGGAAUAUUGGGCAAUGGAGGAAACUCUGACCCAGCAACGCCGCGUGGAGGAAGAAGGUUUUCGGAUCGUAAACUCCUGUCCUUGGAGACGAGUAGAAGACGGUAUCCAAGGAGGAAGCCCCGGCUAACUACGUGCCAGCAGCCGCGGUAAUACGUAGGGGGCAAGCGUUGUCCGGAAUAAUUGGGCGUAAAGGGCGCGUAGGCGGCUCGGUAAGUCUGGAGUGAAAGUCCUGCUUUUAAGGUGGGAAUUGCUUUGGAUACUG